CCUCGGGUGGUAGUAGUGAGGAAGAGUGGUCAACGGACGAGAGUCCGAACCAGUCAAGUAGCGUGAAGGAGGACGGUCCUAUGGGUUGUAAACUUCUUUUAUAUGGGAAUAAAAUGUUCCACGUGUGGGAUUUUGUAUGUACCAUAUGAAUAAGGAUCGGCUAACUCCGUGCCAGCAGCCGCGGUAAUACGGAGGAUCCGAGCGUUAUCCGGAUUUAUUGGGUUUAAAGGGAGCGUAGGUGGAUUGUUAAGUCAGUUGUGAAAGUUUGCGGCUCAACCGUAAAAUUGCAGUUGAAACUGGCAGUCUUGAGUACAGUAGAGGUGGGCGGAAUUCGUGGUGUAGCGGUGAAAUGCUUAGAUAUCACGAAGAACUCCGAUUGCGAAGGCAGCUCACUGGACUGCAACUGACACUGAGGCUCGAAAGUGUGGGUAUCAAACAGGAUUAGAUACCCCUGUAGUC
This 459-nucleotide ribosomal RNA is filed under the name uncultured bacterium. RNAcentral describes it as "partial 16S ribosomal RNA". It matches the Rfam family "Bacterial small subunit ribosomal RNA", at positions 339 to 795 of the family's 1533-position model. The record is from RNAcentral.